This 741-nucleotide ribosomal RNA is filed under the name bacterium 11-L049660-122-017-C02. Its description in RNAcentral is "bacterial SSU rRNA". It matches the Rfam family "Bacterial small subunit ribosomal RNA", at positions 57 to 846 of the family's 1533-position model. The record is from RNAcentral.
GCAGUCGAACGGACCCUUCGGGGUUAGUGGCGGACGGGUGAGUAACACGUGGGAACGUGCCUUUAGGUUCGGAAUAGCUCCUGGAAACGGGUGGUAAUGCCGAAUGUGCCCUUCGGGGGAAAGAUUUAUCGCCUUUAGAGCGGCCCGCGUCUGAUUAGCUAGUUGGUAAGGUAAAAGCUUACCAAGGCGACGAUCAGUAGCUGGUCUGAGAGGAUGACCAGCCACAUUGGGACUGAGACACGGCCCAAACUCCUACGGGAGGCAGCAGUGGGGAAUCUUGCGCAAUGGGCGAAAGCCUGACGCAGCCAUGCCGCGUGAAUGAUGAAGGUCUUAGGAUUGUAAAAUUCUUUCACCGGGGACGAUAAUGACGGUACCCGGAGAAGAAGCCCCGGCUAACUUCGUGCCAGCAGCCGCGGUAAUACGAAGGGGGCUAGCGUUGCUCGGAAUUACUGGGCGUAAAGGGCGCGUAGGCGGAUCGUUAAGUCAGAGGUGAAAUCCCGGAGCUCAACUUCGGAACUGCCUUUGAUACUGGCGAUCUUGAGUAUGAGAGAGGUAUGUGGAACUCCGAGUGUAGAGGUGAAAUUCGUAGAUAUUCGGAAGAACACCAGUGGCGAAGGCGACAUACUGGCUCAUUACUGACGCUGAGGCGCGAAAGCGUGGGGAGCAAACAGGAUUAGAUACCCUGGUAGUCCACGCCGUACACGAUGAUUGCUAGUUGUCGGGCUGCAUGCAGUUCGGUGA